UGUUGUGUGAUUCCAGCUCCACUAUUUUCUGGAAAAGACAAAAUCAUGAGGACAAUAAAAAGAUCAGUCAUCACUAGGGGCUUGGGGGAGAGAUGGCCAAACAGGCAGAGCACAGAAGAUUUUUUGGGUAAUGAAAAUACUCUGCAUGAGACUAUAAUCACAGAGACAUAUCAUUAUGUAUUUGCCAUAGAAUGUGCAACGCCAAGAGUGAAUCCUAACGAACGCUAUGGCCUCUGGGUGAUAAGGAUCUGUCAACACAGGUUCACAGACCGUAACACAAGACCCGCUCUGGUGUGGAAUGUGGAUCGGGUGGGGAGGCCCUGCAUGUGCGGAGACAGAAGCUCUCUGGAAUUUCUGCUCCAUUUUGCUGUGAACAUAAAAUUGCUCUUAAAAAUCAAGUACACGUUUUUGAAGAGCACAAAGAAUACUUAAAUGUGAUGCCUGUUUUGACCUUAAGUUCAUGCAGCAUGACCUUGAUGCCAUCUCCACUCACUGACCACUGGAACUCUGAUCUUUAUCCUGGAUGCCAUUGUUAUCGUCACUGACUCUCAGCCCGGGAGCCCCUGAUCUUGAGGCUCUGUGCAAAGCAGAGAUUAUCUCCCUUGAUCCCCUCAAGAGCCACUGGAGGAAGGAACUGAUACCCCAUUUAAUAGAUGAAACAACUGAGGCCCAGGGAGACGAGCCCACUGCCCACAGUCGCGGGUGUUGGUGACGGAGCCAGG
Molecule: long non-coding RNA, 722 nt
Filed under: Marmota monax (woodchuck)
Lineage: Eukaryota; Metazoa; Chordata; Mammalia; Rodentia; Sciuridae
Source: RNAcentral